RNAcentral lists this ribosomal RNA (591 nucleotides) under Bacillus cereus. RNAcentral's name for it is "bacterial SSU rRNA". It matches the Rfam family "Bacterial small subunit ribosomal RNA", at positions 41 to 623 of the family's 1533-position model. Lineage: Bacteria; Bacillati; Bacillota; Bacilli; Caryophanales; Bacillaceae. RNAcentral also lists the same sequence under 1 other name. The record is from RNAcentral.
GGGGGGGACUACCAUGCAGUCGAACGGUAACAGGAAGCAGCUUGCUGCUUCGCUGACGAGUGGCGGACGGGUGAGUAAUGUCUGGGAAACUGCCUGAUGGAGGGGGAUAACUACUGGAAACGGUAGCUAAUACCGCAUAACGUCGCAAGACCAAAGAGGGGGACCUUCGGGCCUCUUGCCAUCGGAUGUGCCCAGAUGGGAUUAGCUAGUAGGUGGGGUAACGGCUCACCUAGGCGACGAUCCCUAGCUGGUCUGAGAGGAUGACCAGCCACACUGGAACUGAGACACGGUCCAGACUCCUACGGGAGGCAGCAGUGGGGAAUAUUGCACAAUGGGCGCAAGCCUGAUGCAGCCAUGCCGCGUGUAUGAAGAAGGCCUUCGGGUUGUAAAGUACUUUCAGCGGGGAGGAAGGCGAUAAGGUUAAUAACCUUGUCGAUUGACGUUACCCGCAGAAGAAGCACCGGCUAACUCCGUGCCAGCAGCCGCGGUAAUACGGAGGGUGCAAGCGUUAAUCGGAAUUACUGGGCGUAAAGCGCACGCAGGCGGUCUGUCAAGUCGGAUGUGAAAUCCCCGGGCUCAACCUGGGAUCUG